This is a non-coding RNA of Punica granatum (pomegranate), 2014 nucleotides long. Lineage: Eukaryota; Viridiplantae; Streptophyta; Magnoliopsida; Myrtales; Lythraceae. The record is from RefSeq and is a predicted model, not a curated record.
CAUUUUCUGACAGACUGACGCCAACAUCUCCUUCCCCCCCUCCCUCUCUCUGUCUAUGCCUGUCGUCUGCGUUUCGAGCCUUCCUCUGCUCUGCAGAAAUGGCGAGCGCCAGCUCUCCAUCUCUGCAACUCCGCAGCCUCGAACUCCCUCUCCCGCCUUCCCACCGAAGAAGGACCCACAGUAGCAUCACGUCCUUCGUCUCACAUAGUUCAAACCCUCCGAGCAGCAUGGCCAAAACCCCGCUUCGUCAAUCCGGUGUUUCCCCCCAAUUCCCCCUGUCUUCCCGCCUCGAGCUGGGCAAUGGGUUCUUCACCGCACAUUCCCUCCUCAACGAUUUCUCGGUGGAAGAUAAUCGAGUCGAAGAUGAUAGCCCAACUGCUGAAGUUAAAAGCUGUGUGUGGAAUUGGAGGGGCUACUCGAUACGGUACCAGUGUUCCGGGAACGGCGGGCCGGCAUUGGUUUUGAUCCAUGGUUUUGGAGCCAACAGUGACCACUGGAGGAAGAAUAUCCCAGUCCUGGCGAAAUCUCACAGGGUGUACUCAAUCGACCUCAUUGGUUACGGCUACUCAGAUAAACCGAACCCUCAUGAGUUUGGAGGCGACCCAUUCUACACGUUUGAGACAUGGGCCGCUCAGAUCAUUGACUUCUGUCAUGAAGUGGUUAAAGACCGAGCAUUCUUUAUCUGCAACUCCAUUGGAGGAGUUGUGGGUCUUCAAGCUGCAAUUAUGGAACCGGAUAUCUGUCGGGGAAUCGUCUUGUUAAAUAUUUCUUUGCGAAUGCUGCAUAUCAAGAAGCAGCCUUGGUAUGGGAGGCCCUUGAUCAGAUCCUUCCAGAAUUUGCUGAGGAACACUGCAAUCGGGAAGUUCUUUUUCAGAGCUGUCGCUACACCCGAGUCAGUCAGGAGCAUCCUUUGUCAGUGUUAUCACGAUCCUUCCCAAGUGACUGAUGAGCUAGUUGAGAAGAUCCUUCAACCCGGGCUAGAGCCUGGGGCCGCAGACGUAUUUCUUGAAUUCAUUUGUUACUCAGGGGGGCCUCUUCCCGAGGAACUUCUGCCCCAAGUGAAGUGUCCUGUCUUGGUCGCAUGGGGAGAUAAGGACCCGUGGGAGCCCAUAGAGCUCGGACGAGAGUUCAGGAAUUUCGAUUCCGUAGAGGAUUUUGUUGUUCUACCGAAUGUCGGUCACUGUCCUCAGGAUGAAGCACCACAGCUCGUGAAUCCACUUGUGGAAUCAUUCGUGGCUAGGCACGAUAUAUCGUUUGCUGCAACCACAUAACACGACCAGCCUGGGGGGCAGGACAGCAUUCUCUCGAUCGUUCCUGGGGAAAGCCAUCUAUCUAUAUAUAUAUACAUCGGGUCACAUUUUUUAAGUUGUUACAUAAUAUGAUGUUUGGCAAUGAAAGAACCUACCCAGUGGUACCUGUCCAUUGAUAGAACCAAAUGUCGUGGCGAUGAAGAUCAAGCUUUGAAGCAGCCGCCACUUGCCGCUCUCAUCAGAAAUUACAAAAGAUGUCCUCGAUCAAUAUGGUCUUCUUUACUAUAAAAGUGAUGAGUCCCACAUGUCAUGUCUCACGUUAAGAUUGGUCCUACUUGGGAGAAGCCAUGGACGAACAACCGCACCUCAUGAAUAGUUAAAGGUUGCUGCAACCACCACCUCCUCGUUGCAAAUGGUGGGUGGUGCCUUCUCAAGACAUGUUCAGGUCGGAUUGAGUUCAUGAUUUCGUUGAGGCGGCCCAAACUUCUGCUGCAUGGUCCACCUUCUGAUAAUAAAAUCGGACCCCAAUAGAGAUGCAUCGAGGCAAAAGCAUCAUCGGUAUCAUCAUGCUGUUAGUGACAUAAUGUAGUGUGAGUGUUAUCUUCUGCAUGUCGACAUCUCCAGUCAACUAUUUAAUGAUGAUCUAAGGCAAUAAGUAGGAUUAUGUGGAAAAAUCAUACAGGCUAAUCAUGGGAAUUGCUCAGAGUGGAAGAAAAACGGAAUGGUAAUCUCCGUCAGUGGCAACGAGAGCCCAUUUCCAUCUC